Non-coding RNA from Neolamprologus brichardi, 970 nucleotides. The record is from RefSeq and is a predicted model, not a curated record. Lineage: Eukaryota; Metazoa; Chordata; Actinopteri; Cichliformes; Cichlidae.
GCUUUCUUUUCUUUCUCGUCUUACAACUCACUAAGAUAAAGGGUAACGGAGGAAGCUGAAUAAAAGAUAAAUACAAAUAGAAAAAUUAUUUAUAUAAUGGGUCUGUAAAGUAAGUUAGUUAAAGGCAUGGGAAAGUUAGUAAGGAUCUUUUUCUUCACUCUGGAUUUAGGAGGACUCCAGCCGUUCAGGUACACUGGAUUCUUCUGAUACUGACUUAAGAGUGUUCCUGGUGUCCAGCAGGCUGGCGAUCAACAUCUGGAGUUUCGCUCUGAAUCGUGACCUCCUCUUUGUGCUUCUGUGGUUCGUGGGGCCAUAAAUUGGUCACCGUGGCGACCAGCUGGAUGAUUGAAAGUCCCCCAUCUGACUUUCUGAGGUCAGCCGUCACUUGUUCACUGUGGCUCUGCUCUGCAGCUGGUCUCCUUUUCCACAGUGCAGUGACACAGUGUUGAAGAGAAAACACGAUGGCGCACUCCACUCCUCGUACACUCAAUCACUCAGGAAACACAGGGGUUGGUCCAGGGAAUGAGGGUCGGCAACGGUCCAGCGACGAGAAACACAGAGCUGCAAUAUUAUGAGCUGGAACACUCUCGUGAUGAGCCACAGGUGCGUGAUUGCAACUAGGUGCGUGGGUCAAGGGCAGGAGCCCACAGGAGAGCUCCGCCCAGGCAGAUGGAGGAGGGAAAGAGAGGAAGGGAGAGAGCAGGAACAAAAAUGAAAAUAAAAACAUAUGUAGCCAUGCUGAGCCGACCGGGUAGGCACAGGGACCCUGACAGUUAGAGGAAAUGUUAAUGUCAGGUUUAGUCUGUAUGCACUCAGAGGUCAUUUGUACCUGCUGCUGCUGCUGCUGUGGUUGUAAUGAUGUAAACCCUGAUUGGUUGGAUAGUUUGAGUGACAGCAUUUACUGAGGCAAAGCAGAACAGCUGCUGAUCCUGAGCUACUCUUACAAAUGAAAGAUCAGUGAAGAGCUUCC